UUAUUUAUUUAUACUGCCUCGUCAAUAUAUACACACCUAUGUUUCUGAUUUAUAAGUUGGGAAAAAUUUGGCUGUCAAGAGAAUUCUGUUUUGUUGUUAUAUUUGAUUGCUUUCGGAAAUAUAAUGCUUUUUCCAGAUUUGUGUGGAUACAUAUGAGAUCUUCAAUCGCUUUCCUUUCUUUCUCUGACUCUCAUGAAGACAGUGACACUUUCUCUCUCUCUCUCCUCCUCCUCCUUCUCCUCCUCUCUGCUUCGUCCUUCCUAACCUUUUCUUUUCCAAAAUUUACUUGUGUUUCUUUUGGCCUUCUAAUUCAUAAUCUUCUUUGCCCUUAUUUGCCAUGUCCUAUUAUUGCUUUGCUUUUCUCUUCUUGCAGCACUUCUGAUCGUCGUUUACCAGUCGAGGCCUCGCACUGUGACAACAAAGAAAAAGCAGGCUUUUAUUUUUGGGAUUCUUCAUGAAUCAUACACAACCAUUCUUCUUAUGCAAAGCCUUUGUCUACCUUGUAACUCAAGGAAUGUUUCACAACAAGUAUGCAGAUUUAAACUUUGACGAGGACGGUGACAUCUUCACAAAACAAAAGCACUGGACCACAAAUAAUACUCAAAGUUUGUGGUCCAAACAAUCUGGAUACAUAGCAGUAGUCAUCAGUAACACUGAUACAUCAUGGUACAUACAUAUAUAUAAUUACACAGACAACACAGACACAGACACAGACACACGAAUAUAGGUGUGUAUCUGUAUGUACUCGUAGUUCCAGGAGGUUGUCUGUCUAAUGUUAUUUUUAGAGGGUGUUUUAAUGUCACUGCGAGUUGGGAUGUGUCAGUGUCAUAUGUAUAGAUGAUGUUGUGGAUCUUAAUUAGUGUGAAAAUGGUUAGCAUCAUAUUUGGAAGUGCCAGACAGGAACUAAUGAUGAUGGUGACGGAGGAA
Long non-coding RNA from Neltuma alba, 927 nucleotides. RefSeq lists it as uncharacterized. The transcript has 3 exons. The record is from RefSeq and is a predicted model, not a curated record. Lineage: Eukaryota; Viridiplantae; Streptophyta; Magnoliopsida; Fabales; Fabaceae.